RNAcentral lists this long non-coding RNA (8172 nucleotides) under Lactuca sativa (garden lettuce). RNAcentral describes it as "long non-coding RNA (LSAT_LNC008852)". The record is from RNAcentral. Lineage: Eukaryota; Viridiplantae; Streptophyta; Magnoliopsida; Asterales; Asteraceae.
AAAAUUCUGUUUUAUGAAUGACAUGAAAUCCUUUGUGAAAUAUAAAAUAUAACAUUUUAUAAUGAGUUUCGCAAUUAGUUUGAAAACUAACUCUGCAAGUUAAACGGUUGAUUAAUACGGAUUUCAGUGUUUAGAGCAUACUGAACAUGUAACUAUAACAUACGAAAUAAUAAGUUUGGAGUACAAGUUUCCUUGUACUUUUGCUUGUAUUCCCCCCCUGAAAACAUGAAAAACACGGAAAAUGGUGUAGGGGUAUGAACUCACCAGACUAGAAAUGUGCCGGUUAGGAUGCUAAGUGUCAGUUUAAGGCUUGAACACGCGCGAGGUUCUUAUGUAACAUAAGGAGAUACAUAAUUGUAUAUAAUUAGACUUUGAACUACUAAUUAAGUAUGAAAAUACACUCCGAGGUGCGAAAACACUAUAUCUUAAGUGUUGGAAGUGAUAUGGGUUACAUCUAAGGAUGUGUAGGGCCUAAAUAAGGAGUUUACUCUUCAAGUGUGAACCCUUAGGGGUGUUUACGGCCAAAAGACCAUAUCCCCAUGAGUUUACGGUCGUAAAAUCAUGGGUGGUGUGUUCUUGGAUGUUUAAAGGUCUUACAAUGCACAAGGGAAGGUUCUAAGGUUGCAUCAAGGGCUUAGGAAGUGAUCGGGACUUGAAUUGACCUUGGAAAAGGGGUUUACGGUUCUUGAAGGACCCUUGGGUAGUUUACGGUUGUAAACACAUGAGUUUACAGCCGUAAACUCAUGUUUGUCCAUGAUUCAUGUAUUUUGGUGGUUGUAGGUUAAGCAUACAAAGUUCUAGACCCAAAUAUAAGCCAUUCAAGGUGUUAAGGGCACUUAAACACCCUUUGGAGGUGUUUACGGUUUUGGGAGACCUUCCCAAACCGUAAACUCAAGUGUUGCUCAUUUGUGUAUGGUUUGGUGCAUCACAUGAAGGAAUAUAAGGUUCUAGGCACUCAUGGAAGCUUUUGGAGGUGUUUAAGGGGCAAUUUAACACUUUAAAAGGUGUUUAUGGUCUAUGAAGGUGUGUUUACGGUCCAAGAAUGUUCUUGGGCCGUAAAAUCAUGUUUGCUACCCAAAUAAUAUGAUUUUGGUGCUCUAAGCUCGUAUAUGCAAGUCCUUAAGUCAUAGCUAAGCACUAGAAAGGAUUUGGGGGCUUCAAAACCCCUUUAAGGGAGUUUACGGUUUUGGGAGGUGUUCCCAAACCGUAAACACAAGUUCUUGAGUGUUUUGGAUGAUUUAAACUUAUAUUUGCAUGCUUAACAAGUUAAACAAAAAGUUAGGAUAGAUUACUUACGAUUUUGGAGCUUGAAGGGGAGUUUUUGGAUCAAAACUCGAGUUUUAGAGAGAGAGUAGAGAGAGAAAGUUAUGAGGAGGUAAGAAAAAGCUCAAAUGAAGUCACUCAUCCUUUAUAUAAGGCUUGAGUUUGUGGCCAAGUAGGAAUCCACCCAAUACCGACGUUAAACGGGGGUUUACAAUUUUACCCGAUUAAAUUGUCGUAACCCGACUUAGUUGUAACUAAAACUUUUCCAAAUGAAUAUUGAGGGUGUUUUAAGGUGUUUCUAAUGUGUUCCGACACUUAUGAAGUCAAAAUAAAAAUCCCAAUUUAAUUAACUUAAUCCAAAAGUUAACGGAAAAUUUUAAUAAAAAUAAAAUUUAUUAACGGAAAUGGGAUACAGUGACAUAAUAAAUUUAGAAUUGUCACAUUAUCCCCCCAUUAGAGGGAAUUUCGUCCCGAAAUUCAAAAUUAAGAUACAACUUAUGGAAUUGGAAAGAGAUGUGGAUAUUUCUGUUUCAUCGAGUCUUCGCGCUCCCAAGUGAAUUCGGGUCCCCGCUUGGCAUUCCAGCGAACCUUCACUAUCGGGAUGCGACUCUGUUUCGUACGUUUAAUCUCUCUAUCCAUGAUUUCAAUUGGUUCUUCUAUGAAGCUCAGGUUUUCGUUGAUCUCGAUCUCAUCAAGAGGGGUCACGAGGGUUUCAUCGGAUAGACACUUCUUAAGGUUAGAAACGUGGAACACAGGAUGGAUGUUGCUAAGCUCUUGAGGUAGUCGGAGUUUGUAGGCUACAGGACCGAUCCUAGCGAGGAUCUCGAAAGGUCCUAUGUACCUCGGGUUAAGUUUUCCGCGCUUUCCAAAGCGUAUCAUGCCUUUCCAGGGAGAGACCUUUAACAGGACACGAUGUCCAACCUGGAAUUCCAAGGGUUCUCGUCGUUUAUCGGCGUAACUCUUCUGUGUGUCUCGUGAAGCUUUCAGUCGUUCUCGGAUCUGGAUGAUCUUCUUGGUGGUUUUGCGGAUGAUUUCAGAACCAGUGAGAGCACUGUCGGGGACUCGACUCUUAGCUAGUUGCGUGUCCACUACCUCGGCCCAGCACAUAGGGGAUAUGCACUUGCGACCGUAGAGGGCUUCGAAUGGGGCAACAUUAAUUCUGGUGUGGUAGCUGUUGUUAUACGAGAACUCGAUCAAGAGUAGAUGAGUGUCCCACGACUUUCCGAAAUCGAUGACACAUGAUCUCAACAUGUCUUCUAAGGUUUGGAUAGUUCUCUCACUCUGUCCGUCCGUAUGAGGAUGAUAAGUUGUACUCAUAUCCAGCUUAGUUCCAAGAGCUUUCUGAAGGGACUGCCAAAACCUUAAGGUAAACCUGCUAUCUCGAUCGGAGAUAAUGGACACAGGCGCACCGUGCAGUCGGACUAUCUCUUGGAUGUAGAUUCGCGUGAGUCUUUCCAUCUUGAACGAUUCCUUAAUCGGGAGAAAGUGAGCGGAUUUUUUCAAUCGGUCGACAACUACCCAAAUGGUAUCGUACCCACUCGGAGAUUUGGGUAACUUUGUGAUGAAAUCCAUAGUGAUCAUCUCUCAUUUCCACUCAGGUAUCUCGGGCUGCUGGAGCAGACCCGAGGGUUUCUGGUACUCGACCUUUACCUUGGCGCAAGUCAGACACUUGCCCACGAAGGUAGCGAUUUCAGCUUUCAUGUUUGGCCACCAGUAUAGCUUCUUGAGAUCCAAGCACAUCUUGUCCGAACCUGGGUGAACGGAGUAUCUGGUCUUGUGAGCUUCGUUCAUGACAACUUCCCUGAAACCUCCGAACUUUGGGGUCCAGAUUCGGUCCAUGAAACAAUAGACUCCGUCACCUCUUAUCUCAAGUUUCUUAUCCAUCCCUCUCAAGGCUUCAUUCAAUACGUUCUCUAGUUUUAUGGCUUCUAAUUGGGUUCUCGGAUUUGUACGGAUAAGUGGGAAUGGAUGUUCAUUGUCAGUGUCUUUACCUUGCGGCUUGAACUCUCCUUUCGGCUAAGGGCAUCUGCUACCAUAUUGGCCUUGCUGGGAUGGUAGCGGAUUUCACACUCAUAAUCACUAAGCACCUCCACCCAUCGCCGUUGUCUCAUGUUUAAGUCUUUCUGAUCGAAGAUAUGUUCCAGGUUCUUAUGGUCAGUGAAGAUCGUGCACUUGGUUCCAUAGAGAUAAUGUCUCCAAAUCUUCAGUGCGAAGACCACUGCUCCUAACUCCAGGUCGUGAGUUGUGUAGUUAACUUCGUGUGCCUUUAGCUGCCUUGAGGCAUAAGCAAUAACUUUUCACCUCUACAUAAGCACACAACCUAAGCCCUGAUUUGACGCAUCGCAAUAGAUAACGAAAUCCUUUGUCCCUUCGGGCAGGGACAGGAUAGGUGCGCUGCACAAGGAUCGUUUCAACGUUUGGAAAGCAGUGUCUUGCUUCUCACUCCAACAAAAGGGUACUCCUUUCUGCGUCAGAGUGGUUAGGGGCUUGGCGAUUCUAGAAAAAUUCAGGAUGAAUUUGCGAUAGUAGCCGGCGAGACCGAAGAAUUGACGGAUUUAUGUGGGUGUCUUCGGUGCCGACCAAUUCUCUAUCGCCUUGAUUUUAGAUGGGUCCACAUGUAUACCCUCCUCACUUACCACGUAACCAAGGAAACCUACCUUCCGAAUCCAGAAUUCGCACUUGGAGAAUUUCGCAUACAACUUUUUCUGAUCUAAGAGUUUCCAACACUAUCCUCAAGUGUUGUUUGUGAUCUUCUUCGCUUCUGGAAUAGACAAGUAUGUCGUUAAUGAACACGAUGACGAACUUGUCUAGAAAGGGGCGACACACCCGGUUCAUCAGGUCCAUGAACACUGUCGGUGCGUUGGUUAGACCGAAGGGCAUCACUACGAACUCGUAGUGACCAUAUCGAGUCCUGAAUGCUGUUUUGGAAACAUCAUUCUCGUGAACUCGUAGCUGAUGGUACCCUGAUCUAAGGUCUAUCUUUGAGAAGUAACUGGCUCCCUGAAGUUGAUCGAAGAGGUCAUCUAUUUGAGGAAGAGAAUAACAGUUUUUUACAGUCAAUUUGUUCAACUCGCGGUAGUCUAUACACAUCCGAAAGGAUCCAUCUUUCUUCUUCACAAACAAUAUCGGGGCUCCUCAUGGUGAGGAACUCGGUCUGAUGAACCCUUUACUAAGUAGCUCAUUGAGCUAACUGGAUAACUCCUGCAUUUCUGCUGGAGCUAAGCGAAAGGGAGAUUUGGCCACGAGAUUUGCUCCGGGAAUUAGGUCAAUGCGAAGCUCGACUUGACGUUCUGGUGGAAUUCCAGGGAGCUCUUCGGGAAAGACAUUAGGAAAGUUACAGACUUCGGGGAUGCUCUCGAGGUCUUUAACUUCCUGUUUCUCGUUGAUUACAUGGGCUAGGCAUGCAUGGCACUCCUUUCGCAGAAGCUUUUGGGCUUUGAUGCAUGAAAUGAUGCGAAGGUUAGAAUUGAGUUUAUCGUCGUAGAUCAUAACAGUCUGGCCAGAGGGGAGAUUGAGACGGAUGGCCUUUUCAUAACAAAGGAUAUCAGCAUGAUUGGGACUCAACCAAUCCAUGCCGAUGAUAACAUCAAAGCUCUUUAUGGAAACUGGCAUAAGGUCGUUGGGAAAAGAAUGAUCGUUAACGGUAAGGGUACAGCCUAUGAAUAUAUCGUUAGCGUUCUCUUUCUCACCGUUAGCCAUCUCGACGGUAAACGUUUCGGUUAAUAAUUGAGGACUAUGUUUAAGAAGAUGUUUGAAUGAAUGGCUAACAAAUAUUCUUUUAGCACCAGAAUCGAAAAGGAUUACAAGCAUAAGAGUUGUCAAGAAGGAACAUACCUGCGGCAACGGUGGGGUCGGCGACUGCCUCCUCCUGCUUUAUAGUUAGAACUGUCCCGGUGUUGUUGAUUGUUGUUGCUUUUGGGCAGUUUCGCUUGAAAUUCCCGACUUCACCGCACCUGUAGCAGGCCUGAUCGACACCUGCUCCGGAAGCUGGAUUGAUUGGUUGGGCUGGUGUUUUGCAGUUUCGAGCAGUGUGGCCCUUUUUGCCACAACUGUUGCAGAUCAACUCACGGCAUGGGCCAGGGAUACGAUGGUGGUAACUACACUUGUCGCACCGAGGGAGGUUACCAGCAUACCUAUUGGUAGGUACUUGAGCUGUAGGAGUAGUGACAGGAGUAGUAGCAGCUUGGACUGCCACAGUUUUGUGCUUCUUGGAGGGCCCUUGCGAACUCUGACCCUUUCGCUUUUUCCAAAAUAUCUUCUUACUUUGACUACACUCACCUUCAUGAUCUUGGGGAUGUGUGUUACUUCUUGGUCCGCCAGACCCGCACGGGUUCAAGUGUGACAUUGCAGUCGUCACUGCGGCAGUAACAGCUGCCUGAAAUAUGACAAGGUCGAAUUGAGAAGGAUGUGGUGGCGGAGGAUUGUUGUUCUUUGAGCUAGGUCUUUUCCUUGGAGGCAUCUUGAUCUAAAAUGAUCAGGAAAGAGAGGAUGGUAAGUCCUCUGGAUAGAAUCAAGAGAUAUGAAGCAAGAGAUAUCUUAUUAUGGCAGAUAGAGUGUUCUACUAUGCGAUAAUAUAUAGAAAAGCUACCAAAGCAAGGGAAUUUAUCGCUAAGGGGAAUGAGUAGAAACACUUGAACGAGGAUUUCUAUAACGAAGUUGGCUCUAGAAAAUACUCCCAUAGUAUUUUAUGUUUCGCUGCGACGAUGACUCAUUGUUUGAAUAUUUGGUAAGUUUUUAGGCCUGCUGCACACCACAGUCACUCCCAAGCACAUGUUGGCUGUGUCUCGAAUGAAUAUAGUUGAUCAGGCUAUAUUGAUCCUAGACACGACUACAUAACUGCCCAGGUUUAACCGAAGUGUACAACACCCAAUUACUUAUGUUUUGUUCUACUCGAGGUAACGGUUUCUGGCGUUUAGAUAUUCUUGUAUACUUGGAGUAAAAAUACUUAUAUUUUUAAAGUAUACUUUUUAGUUCAGAGCACUUCGGCCCCUUAGUGUUUAUAGUUAUAUACCAUGUAAGGUUCGAUAUACUUAGUUCACUAUAAACAAGGGCUCUGAUACCAAUCUGUCACACCCCGAAACCGAUGGCGGAAACGUUCCGCGGCGGAGGACGUCAUGUAAAGUAUCACAACCAAUGUACAUAGUAAGCAUAGUAAACACAAAACAUUACAUUACAUAGGAAUAUUUACAUUUGUUUGAAAGCAAAGUAUUACAUGUUUUAUAGAUACAUUAGUACGAACAAAAGUAAAGACGAGACUUCUAAACGCUCCGUCUUCUCCAAAAGAAUGCGGGAUACCUGUCUAACGAGAACCUGAGAAUACAAGCAGUUUUAAAAAUAUCAGCAUAAAGCUGGUGAGUUCAUAAGCGGUUUGUUUCUGGUGAAAGAAUAAGUUUUCCUUUGGUUUCAUGAAAAAGUUGCUAUCCAAGAAAAUCCUAUAUUUUCUUAUAAGAGUAGUUUAGUUAUCCAUCGGUUAAAUAGCCUGAUUAAGAAAAGUUAAGUUAUCCCAGGAAAAACCCUUAUUUUCCUUAAAAGUUGGUGGUUGGUUAUCGAUUCGGAAUGAAGUGUACAAGUAUCUACCAUACUUGUAGCGUUUAAGUGAAGUAUCGUGAAAGCCUGGUUAUCCUUGAAAAGUACAUUAGUUUUAACAUGUAUAUAAAACUAAUAAGUAGGUUAUAAACUAAUUUCCUAAGGGUAUUAAUUUACUAAGUUCUUUAUUACUUAAAAGUAAAUCUCCAUUAUCUAAGUUGGGAGUUCUAUAGCCAUACGAUAAACUAGAUAUGGAAAGAAGAAGGCCAGUAUCAUUUUAUGACUUUUGUCACCCAUAGACCUGCCGGUCCCACUGUAGCUAGCAGCAAGGUGCGGGGUAGUCAGCCCCGUAUACAUCUAUACACUCAAGCCACACUCUCUUUAUAAGAGAUUCUAGUUACAGGGGCGGUCCUCCACUCGCGUAUCCCUGUGGAGUGUUUCAGAGGAUGUGUCUCCAAUCUUAAGAAUAACGAAUUUACAAGUAAUAAAGCGGAAAAUCAUGUUUUAUGAAUGACAUGAAAUCCUUUGUGAAAUAUAAAAUAUAACAUUUUAUAAUGAGUCUCGCAAUUAGUUUGAAAACUAACUCUGCAAGUUAAACGGUUGAUUAAUACGGAUUUCAGUGUUAAAAGCAUACUGAACAUGUAACUAUAACAUACGAAAUAAUAAGUUUGGAGUACAAAUUUCCUUGUACUUUUGCUUGUAUUCCUCCCCUGAAAACAUGAAAAACACGGAAAAUGGUGUAGGGGUAUGAACUCACCAGACUAGAAAUGUGCCGGUUAGGAUGCUAAGUGUCAGUUUAAGGCUUGAACACGCGCGAGGUUCCUAUGUAUGUAACACCCAAGAUCAGGAAGGCCUAGAAAGGAAAGGAAACCCUAAGUUUAAGGGACGACUCGGCGAGUCCAAGGUGGAACUCUGCGAGUCCGAGCAGGAUUCGGGUCGAGGAGUAAGUGACCGACUCGGCGAGCUGGCCAAGGAGACUCAGCGAGUCUGGUCUGUACGAGGAAAACCCUAAAUUCGGGACAUGAAGCCUAUUUAAGCGCUUCAUUCUCUUCCCUAGGGUUCCUUUACUGCCUCUCUAACCCAGAAUACCAAAACCUAGACACCAUAUCCAUUGUUGAGCCAAUUAUUGCCUUGAAGAGUGCAUUAAAGCUUGGAGAAGGAAGAAGGAUCUUGAAGGUGCAAGAAGGGGGCUAUAGAUAUGGGAUUGGGAAGAUAUUUCUGAACAUUUGGAGGUAAUAAACUAGUUCUUGGACUCCUUUGCACCUAGAUCUAUGUGUGAGUUUUGGGGCUUUUGGCCAUGAUUGGUAUCCAUUUGAGUUAGAAGCCAGAUCUGUAGUUGCUACUUCGGAUCUCAGCAUAUUUUGGCCUUGUGAAGCAUAAAGU